Molecule: long non-coding RNA, 528 nt
Organism: Mauremys reevesii (Reeves's turtle)
Lineage: Eukaryota; Metazoa; Chordata; Testudines; Geoemydidae
Exons: 3
Source: RefSeq, a predicted model, not a curated record
CAUCACUGAGGGAAAUGAUCAGAGGUUGGCUGGUUAGACAGGAGUUGCUGAGCAGCUGCCACUGACUUCUGUGUUCAGCAUCUCUGAAAAUCAGGCGUGUGUGUGUGUGUGUGUGUUAUCAUCAGAGGUAAACAGAAUUUAUGAGAACACAACUUAUUUUCUCAUGUAAGCAGUAAUUGAACAACUGCCAAAUACACAAGAGAUGCCUGAAAGAAUCCACAUGCCAAGAGGAGGCGGAAUUAAUGCUGAGGCUUCAGAUGUAAUCCAGAGGACUGGAACUGUCUGUUCUUCAGAAGUGCUACAUGCCAGCGGAUCUCAUUGACUUGACUGGAGUUCAGGGUUCUCAGCAUCUCUGAAAAUCAGGCCCCUAAUGCCUAGUGAUGGUCAAAUGCAAAUCUCAAAAAGCCUUAUUUGUUUAAAUAAGUAUCCAACAGUUCAGAUGCUCUUUAUCUGAUCAUCUUUUAUCUCGGUAUAAUAACCCAGUGUCUCAGUUGAGGAAAGGCAUGAUAUAAUGUGGCACAAAUACAU